UUUUUGGUAGUUGAUGACAACAUACAUAUAGCUCUCAAAAAAUAAACAUAUGUAGCUUAGGAGAGAUUUGUUAUGGGCCCCCCUGAUUAUAUGCAUGGUAAAAUAAUUAUGGCCGGGAGGUCCCCCUUACUUGAUAAUGAGUGCAUCGAAGAUAUCAUAUGGAUUAAUAAAGUAGCACGAUAACACAUCAUCAUAUGACUCAAUAAAAUAGCAUGACAACACAUCAUAAUAGUUCAGCAUAACAUGAUAGCACAUCAUCCAUAAGUAGCAUUGCAUGAUAACACAUCAUAAUAGUUCAACAUACUCUAUCAUCCAUACAUUAAGGGUAACAAAUCGAAAGCUAAGAUAAUGUCCUCCCCCUUUGGC
Molecule: long non-coding RNA, 366 nt
Filed under: Hordeum vulgare
Lineage: Eukaryota; Viridiplantae; Streptophyta; Magnoliopsida; Poales; Poaceae
Description: long non-coding RNA (HVUL_LNC000494)
Source: RNAcentral